This 1058-nucleotide long non-coding RNA is filed under the name Sus scrofa (pig). Its description in RNAcentral is "lncRNA (ENSSSCG00070004990.1)". The record is from RNAcentral. Lineage: Eukaryota; Metazoa; Chordata; Mammalia; Artiodactyla; Suidae.
GCGGGGCAGAGACUUGAACCACCUCUGGCCGAGCCCCUCCCUCCCCGUUUCAGAGCCUCAUGCAGCUGGGGGACCAGCAGCUGGAAGGGCAGACUGCCCAGGCCACAGAGAGACAGACGCAAGGCACCGAAGUUCUCAGAACGAAAGUGGGACGAGCACUUGGACACUUUACAAACCCCCAGGCCCCGAGAGAUUAGGACCCAGACACACACGGGGAGGACCGCGUGUGACCCAGGGAGGAGACGGCCAUCUGGACAGGACAUCAGGUCUCAGCCCUGAGUGGUCCCUGCCUUUAGGAAUGUAGGCGGAAACUGGACACAGCAUCGCGGGUACAGAGACCAACCAGGAGCGGACAUUUGAGGGAUAGAGGGGCUCCUGCCUACGUGGAGUCAGCAGACAUUCUACAAAGAAAAGGAGUUUGGGGACAUCCAGCGAGUGUCUGAGGCAGCACAGUGCACAAAACUCUAGGAUGUGCGGGACGCUGACACCGCUUAAUCUGGGGGGCAGGGUGUGUUCACUGGACCAUCACAAUUAGUGAACACAUUGGCGACAGCCUGUCCUAUGCAGGUGACCCGAGUCAGCUCCAUCCACCCUCAGCAAACCCGUGAGACCGGCCCUCUUGGCGCCCCCAUUUUACAUACGAGAAAAUAGAGGCACAAAGAGAGACUGCGACGGCAAAGAUUACACAGCUGGUAAGAAGCAGGAGGAAACGUGUGAGAGGGAAAGAGACUCGAAGAGAAAGGACAGGUGAGGGCCAAGGGAGCAGCCCCCCAGGCUGCCCUCCAAGGCCUUGACCCCAGUCCGGAGUGACUUCAGGACGCUUAUUGGAAGCCUUCAGGGAAGAACGGUUUGACUCAUCCCUGGGGGUGCAGACAGAGCUCAGGCUGAAGGUGAGCCCCAUGAGACAGUUACUGAGAGAAGAGAACAUGUCAGUGAAAGAGGAGAAUUGGUAAGCAAUGGCACAUGUAUUUUAUAUUUGGGGACAACUUUUAAAAAAUGUAUACAUCCAUUCACCGCUUUUUUUUUUUUUUUUUUUUUGAAUGGCCGCACCCAUGGCC